UUGAUCCUGCCGGACCCGACUGCUAUCAGAAUGAGAUUAAGCCAUGCGAGUCAACAUAGCAAUAUGUGGCAUACGGCUCAGUAACACGUAGUCAACAUGCCCAGGGGACGUGGAUAACCUCGGGAAACUGAGGAUAAACCGCGAUAGGUCAUCACUUCUGGAAUGGGUAAUGACUUAAAUCUAUAUGGCCCCUGGAUUGGACUGCGGCCGAUCAGGCUGUUGGUGAGGUAAUGGCCCACCAAACCUGUAACCGGUACGGGCUCUGAGAGGAGGAGCCCGGAGAUGGGCACUGAGACAAGGGCCCAGGCCCUAUGGGGCGCAGCAGGCGCGAAACCUCUGCAAUAGGCGAAAGCUUGACAGGGUUACUCUGAGUGAUUUCCGUUAAGGAGAUCUUUUGGCACCUCUAAAAAUGGUGCAGAAUAAGGGGUGGGCAAGUCUGGUGUCAGCCGCCGCGGUAAUACCAGCACCCCGAGUGGUCGGGACGUUUAUUGGGCCUAAAGCAUCCGUAGCCGGUCAUGCAAGUCCUCCGUUAAAUCCACCUGCUCAACAGAUGGGCUGCGGAGGAUACUACAAGGCUAGGAGGCGGAAGAGGCAAGCGGUACUCAGUGGGUAGGGGUAAAAUCCUCUGAUCCAUUGAAGACCACCAGUGGCGAAGGCGGCUUGCCAAUACGCGCUCGACGGUGAGGGAUGAAAGCUGGGGGAGCAAACCGGAUUAGAUACC
This 721-nucleotide ribosomal RNA is filed under the name uncultured Nitrososphaerota archaeon. RNAcentral's name for it is "bacterial SSU rRNA". It matches the Rfam family "Archaeal small subunit ribosomal RNA", at positions 8 to 737 of the family's 1478-position model. The record is from RNAcentral. Lineage: Archaea; Thermoproteati; Nitrososphaerota.